Molecule: non-coding RNA, 612 nt
Organism: Oncorhynchus mykiss (rainbow trout)
Lineage: Eukaryota; Metazoa; Chordata; Actinopteri; Salmoniformes; Salmonidae
Source: RefSeq, a predicted model, not a curated record
UAUAUUGCACACCCUUUAAUUAGUCCAUUUUCAUCACAAGAUUUUACAUGAAUCUUUCAACAUUUGGAAUUUCAAUAGCUCCUUGGUCAUGUGACCUAGUGACUUCAAACAAGGUUCAGAAUGUCCACUCAGUGGGCCUACACAUUGCACACCCUUUAGUUUGUCCAUUUUAAUUUCACAUGAUUUGACAUGAAAAUGUCAAAAUGUAAAAUUUCAAUAGAAAUGGCUGAGGAUAUACAAAAAAUGUCUGAGUUCAACAAAGCCAACAACUGCUUCAUGUGUGCCACUGAUAAAGAACCUGGAUGUGGCCCAAAGACUGACUAGAUUGACUGUUUUGCAUGCCAACGGUGGUUCCAUGUGCUGUAACUAAGAAUGAAGACAACAUAGUUCAACAGAGUAAUGAACACACACUGGAAGUGCAGUCUUUGUUGUUGAACAUGUAUGCUAUACCCCAUCCACACUGAAGAUGCUCUGAAAUGUACAUCAACCAGGGAUAAAGAGAAAGUUAACACUGAAAUGUUUCAUACUUAUUUCAAGUUAAGUGUCUGUUGACAUGUUGGAAAAUAUUAAAGGUCUACAAUUUCUGUUUCAUUUGUCAAUAUUCAAUUUUUA